GUUUGGAUCCGCCCUCCCAGCGUCUUCUCGUCCCCGACCCUCUAAGCGAAACUUCCGCCGACCUUCCGGGACAGAAAUCCCGCCUUUCUGGUGGCUUUGGAAUUCAUUGGGCUUGGGAAAGGCUUCCUGUAGAUGAUGAAGAAACUGAGGCCCAGAGAGACUGAGACAACUCUCUUUACACUUUUUUUCUCUACCUACACAAUCUGCUUUGAUCACUUCCUGAUGCCUGACUGUCUCAUAUACUUGGAGUCUUUGCUACCCUUUGAUGACAUUGACAAUGUUUGUCUGUCUCACGGAGAUAUGAAGAGCUCUACAUGAAUGGAUACAAGAGGACAAUGGAUCAUACUUAAAUGCUUAAUUCCCUGGUAAAGUGAAUGAAUAUAA
Non-coding RNA from Phascolarctos cinereus (koala), 384 nucleotides. NCBI's taxonomy places the organism in Eukaryota, Metazoa, Chordata, Mammalia, Diprotodontia, Phascolarctidae. The record is from RefSeq and is a predicted model, not a curated record.